RNAcentral lists this ribosomal RNA (451 nucleotides) under uncultured bacterium. Its description in RNAcentral is "partial 16S ribosomal RNA". It matches the Rfam family "Bacterial small subunit ribosomal RNA", at positions 28 to 507 of the family's 1533-position model. The record is from RNAcentral.
AGCGAACGCUGGCGGCAUGCCUAACACAUGCAAGUCGCACGGGGGGGCUUCGGCCUCCCAGUGGCGGACGGGUGAGGAACGCGUAGGGACCUGUCGAGGGGUGGGGGAUAACCGCGGGAAACUGCGGCUAAUACCGCAUGACGCCGCGGCGUGACAGCCGGGGCCAAAGGCGAAAGCCGCCCGCCGAGGGGCCUGCGUCCGAUUAGCUGGUUGGCGGGGUAGCGGCCCACCAAGGCGUCGAUCGGUAGCUGGUCUGAGAGGGUGAUCAGCCACACCGGGACUGAGACACGGCCCGGACUCCUACGGGAGGCAGCAGUGGGGAAUAUUGGACAAUGGGCGCAAGCCUGAUCCAGCAAUGCCGCGUGGGUGAAGAAGGUCUUCGGAUUGUAAAGCCCUUUCGGCGGGGACGAGGGUGACGGUACCCGCAGAAGAAGCCCCGGCUAACUUCGUG